Molecule: long non-coding RNA, 4727 nt
Filed under: Sus scrofa (pig)
Lineage: Eukaryota; Metazoa; Chordata; Mammalia; Artiodactyla; Suidae
Description: lncRNA (ENSSSCG00040059021.1)
Source: RNAcentral
AUCAGAGCUUGAACUGCAGCUGAAACAAGCAGUGGGAGAGGUUUACUUAUACACCACAAUAUGCUUCCCUUUAGAGGAGUGGAUACCAUUUGGUCUAACGUGUGGCCUAACAUGUGGGAGUCUGAACCACCAGGGGGGCCAGUGUCUAGAGGAGAGGGACAUGUUCCUGAUGGCCUGAAAGGGGCGCGCACUGGGGGGCGGGGGCGGGGGGCUCUGGAUAACAGGUGCUCUGCCAGGUGGCACAGGUCCAAGGGCAAACCCUGACUCUGCACCUUAUUAUCAGCUGUGUGCAGUGGGACAAGUUACUCUCUCUCUCUCUGAGCCUCCUCCAACAGUCUCUGCCUCACAGACUUUCUGGCUUACGUGAGAUAAUACCGACAAUAUUGCCAAGCACAUGGCAGGUUCUUAAAAAACGUUCAUUGAGUCUGAGUGUAAAUGUGCCCAGUCAGGAUGGUGAGGCAUCACCCCACGCCCUCCGACUGGAGUGCCCGUCGGCACACACUGCGUUCUGCAUACAAUGAGGCCUGCAGAGCCCCUGACAGCCAGGGCGAUUUGCCUGCUGCCUGGCUUAUUCGUCUUGCUCCCCAUGACACCAGCGCCAGCGGGAACCCUGCUGGUGUGUCUGCAGGGUCACCAGGGGCCAGGCCCAGAUGGAUGUCAGGGCAGGCUGCUGAGGUGAAUUAUUUAGCACCCCUGCUCCGAGGUAGCAGCCCCUGAUUCAUCAGGCAGGAACCACAUUCCUCUUCCCUUAAAUGGCACAUGCAGAGCCUGGCUGCGGGCUGAAGCUGGAAGGAGCCUCACUGCUCAGCUCAUCACAGCUGCGGUGGCUGCGGAAGGAAGGGCUGUUAGGAGCUCAGCCAGAAAGAAGACACACAGAAGGGGUUCGGCAAGCUUUGAAGAGGGGAGCCAUGUUACUGGCAACCGGAAAUAUCAAGAAUGAAAGAAGGUUAUAGUCUAUCCGUGGCUGAAAACAGCUGUCCAGAGAAAACUGGGAUGUUUCUUGGCGGGAUCCUUUGGCAGAGCCCAAACACAGCCACCGGGUACUACCCACAGGCAUUCCAAAGGCCUUUCAUCCUUCGGGACUGCCAAGGUAACUAUUCUCAGGAGCGCCUAGCCACAGAGACAGCAGUGGAGAGAUUUAUAAGCCAGAUUUACAGGUAACAUUUACUACAUACACAACAUCUCAUCUAACCCUCCUGACAAGCCUUCAAGGUUCUAGCAAUAGUUGUUUAUCACAGAUAAAGAAACUGAGGCUUGGAGAAAUCAAAAUAGCUGUGAACUGCAUGCAGGCUAUUCACCUAACUUCGGAGCUGAUUUGCUUUUUCUUCUGUCUAUUGCUAUUCUUAAAAUCUGGAGUUCCCGUUGUCAAGAACAGUGGGUUCUCAGUGGGUUAAGAAUCUGACAUAGAGUACUGUGAAGAUGUGGGUUAGGUCCCCAGCCCCGCUCAGCGGGUUAAGGAUCCAGGGUUGCCGCAAACUGCGGCAUAGGUUGCAGAUGAUCCUCGGAUUUGGUGUUGCUUUGGCUGGCCCGUAAGCCAGCAACUGCUGCUCCAAUUUGACCCCUAUGCCACAGGUGAAGCCAUAAAAAGAAAAAAAGAAAAUUUGCAUUUAGCCAACUGAAUUUUGUCUUCUCAUUCCCUCUAGUCUAGGCACAGGUUGAUGUGGCUAUGAGGGACUCUUGGGUUGGGCCAGUUAUGGGUGGAUGCUCUCAUCCCCCUAAGAGACUGACCCGAUCAAGAAGACCACCUGGGAAAACAAGGCUUUCCAGGACUGAAGGGCAGGUUCCUGUGCCUGUCACAAGUGCAGGGUUGUUGACUAUGGCCCCUCUUGAUGGUGACAAGGGAAAUACAGGCAGACUUUGGCAAUAUUUCAGAUGUGGUUCCAGACCACCAUAAUAAAGUGAAUAAUAAAAUGAGGUCUGCCUGUAUUGAGCACUUCAAUAUAGUUGGAGCCUCUUUUCAGGCCAACGGAGUUGGGCCUGGAUGAAUCCCAAGGGAUAUUCUUCUAACUCAGGAAACAUCGCAAAUCCGUGGGACUCUGAGGACCCAGAGAAUUCCUCACGUCCCUGUGCGGGCCAUGCAGUGCCUCAGUGAGUAUGUGCUAGGCCUUCUACAGAAUUCAUUCCUCUCCCUUGGCCAACCCCUCUCCCCUGGUCACCAGCCUGAUAGAGUCGGCGCACGGAGGCCUCCCCACAGCAUGAUGCUGGGUUCUUGGGCUUCAAUGUGUGAUCCUGGAGUAAGAAUAUUAGCUUCCACAGGGAACAUGUUGACCGGGCAGAGUCUCAGUCUCCACCUAGACCUACUGAAUCUGGAGGUGGAGCUGAUCAUCCUAGUUUUUAGCAAGCCCUGCAGAUUUAAGUUUGAGACCCAGGGGUCGAAGUAAUGGCCAUGAACUGCUACUAAGAGCCAAAAAAGAGCAGAGGGGGUGAGCAUGGGCCUGAGACAGGAAGGGUCUCCGAGGGGCCCAAAACGGCAAGCUGGAAUCCAGGAGAUGGAGUUCAGCCCACGGAAGUGUGUUAUUGGGUCUACACUAGAGGUUGGGAAACUGAAAAGGGCCAAGCAAUAUCUAGGGUAGGUUUUAAAAAUCAUAUGAUCUCUGACUCUGGUACAGCUAUUCAACUCUGCUGCUAUAGUGUGAAAACUAAGAGGCAAUCUGUAAGCAGGUGGGCAUGGCAAAUCCCAAUCAAGCUUUCUCAAAACAGGUGCUGGGCCAGAUUUGACCUUUACGUUGUGCUCUGCCGAGCCUACAUCUGCAAAACAACUUCUCUUAAAAAGAAAGCAAAACAAAAGAAACCAAAAAAAAAACCCUCAGAAGAUCUGGCCAUGCUCCACUUCAAGAAGCAGCAAUCAGCUGGAGCUGAAGGGGCAGCCCUCUUCCCUGAUGACAGUGAUCACAGAUUUUCUUCCAAAUACCAGGGCAGAGUCAUUCAUACUUACUAUCCUGCUCUUUUUCUCCCCAUCCACUUAUACUGACAUUAAAUGUGCAUCUGUAGAUACACAUGCAUAUGUACAUAUAUAUGUAUAUGUGUGUAUGCACAUUUUAACACCCACCAGCUUUCAGAAGUUCCUAUUACAGAGAUGUCCACACACCUCAGUUAUGUCCAAGGGCUUUAACACCACAAUGGAAAGAAGCCUGGUUCAGAAUUCUGGGUUUCGGGCUCCAGCCCUUGAUCUGACCUUGGAGCUUUAACUUGAGCAAGGUUGUGACACUCCCUCACGGUCCACUUGUGCUCAAGUGCAGAAACUACCCCUUCCCUCUUCCUUCUUCUCUGGGAUGCUGUGAGAACAAGCCGGCAGUACCACCUGGGAAAGUAGCAUAAAAUGGCCUGAAUGUCAGCCCCCGAAAUCAUGCCUUUGGGGUUGGCCAAGCAGGAGAAAAGUUUUUGUCCUAUUUUUCUCCUACAUCAGGUGUCUAAACAUGGUCUUAAAUCAAAAUGGGUAAUACUCAAGGGUACUGGUCCUCUCCUGACCUACCUCAUGUCCUCUGAAUGGGAGACCACAGAAAGAAAUCUCUCUGUAUUUAGAAGAGGAUUAUUUUACUCACAUCAGUGGAAGGUUCUUUGGAAAGCUCAGAAUGCAAGAUGUGACGUCUAAUCAGCUUUUCUCUUUUCUGUAGGCAGCAUAAAGCUUAAAGCUCAGGGGUCUUAUUUGGAAUCUUCUUCCCUCAUUCAGUUUUCCUUCCUCCUCUCCCCAUCCUCACAUUGACCUAAAUAAAUAAAUAAUGUGCACAAGAUGAUAAUGAUCUUUUCUUAAAGAAGGAAAAAGGCAUAUUUAAUGUCACCCUCUCAGCAGUCUACCUGGAACCUUGCAUUCUAACUUAGGUUAUAUGAAUCCAGCGCUGCCUUUUUCCAAUUACACAUUUUUUGGGGGGGCCUUUCCAUCAAGGAAAUUCCUCUACCUAAGUGCCCCUCCCUCUUUCUUCAACUUGCAUGCUUUUUCCUCACUCUGCCUACUCCAGAAAAGGUCUCUCAAAAGAAAAUACAUCAAUCUUCAACUUAUCUGAGUGGAAUGUUUGCACAAAGAAUCACAGAGGUUCUAUGAUUGGUUACACAAGUUAAUUUUCCAUUUACAUUAUAGAGCAACAAUUUAUUCUACAAUAAAACCAGCCAACCCUGAGAGUCCACUGCAGUCGCUGCCUUGGCUGGGAGCCAAGAUUCCUGGACUCUUGCUCCCACCACUCCGCCUCCUGCAUUCACAUGGGCAGCCCUUCUUUUACAGGCUGCUUCUCUUUGGAUGCACUUCUCUUACUCCAUCACCUGUGCAUUUGAGACACUGAGCAUCAGUCUAGGAAUGACAGUCUAUGGAUCCUGUCAGCAUUAACAGUGGAGCCAGGAGUAGACCCGGCCACACGUAAUGGACAGGGAGAUGGAGAUGCUUAUAAAUGGAGAGAGAGACAACAGAGGGAUGGCUGGAAAGCUUAACUGUGCACUUACUGUGUCCCAGUCAUCCCAAGAGAGGGAAUAAAUAUCUCCAUUUGAGGGAUGAGAAAAGUGAGGUUUAAGAGGGUAAACAGUUGCCCUAAAGAAAAACAGAAAGUGACAGAACAGGGAUUGGAACUUAGGUCUGUUUUGUACCUAAGCCAGUAACUCUUAGAUGCAGAGAUGUACUAUGAUGUACCUGUGCCCACAGCUCUAAAAACUGGGAUGCCAUCCCUUGAGAACAGACACUUUUUUUUUUUUUUUUUGUCUUUCCUAGGGCUGCACUGAGGCAUGUGGAGGUUCCCAGACUA